RNAcentral lists this long non-coding RNA (314 nucleotides) under Capsicum annuum. Its description in RNAcentral is "long non-coding RNA (CANN_LNC017543)". Lineage: Eukaryota; Viridiplantae; Streptophyta; Magnoliopsida; Solanales; Solanaceae. The record is from RNAcentral.
AGUAUAUUCCCACAAAGUGGGGUCUGGAGAGGCUAUAAUGUACGCAUUCCAUACCGCUACCUCCGAAGAGGUAGAGAUGUUAUUUUUGAUAGACCCCCGGCUUAAGAUAAAGAAUAGUAAACAAGAGUGUAAUGAAACAUGAAGCGGGAUGUAUGACAUAACAUAAAUAAGGAAUAAGACAUAAUACAAUAGAAAUCAGAGCAAGUACGAAUCAAGAUAAAUAAGCACAAUAUGAAAUACAAGAUAAGAAAAGGACAUCUGGAAUAGGACAACUACCUAGUAGUAACAUACACUCACAGACCAAAGGCACCCAC